GGCACUCACGAAAAGAUGUGAAAUUUUGAUAUCUUAUUCGUAUUGAAAUUCUUAGGUGACUGGUGCGAUUCGAGAAUUUUUAUAGGUCUUUCUAUGUUUUUUCUUGAGUUUUAUAUUUUUCGAACGAUUACGAAUUAAAAUUUUUGAAUUUUUCUGGGCAGUAACAAAAAAAUAUGAAAUAUUGAUAUUUUAUUCGUAUCGAUAUUCUUAGGUGACGGGUG
This 221-nucleotide long non-coding RNA is filed under the name Solanum tuberosum (potato). RNAcentral's name for it is "long non-coding RNA (STUB_LNC007179)". The record is from RNAcentral. Lineage: Eukaryota; Viridiplantae; Streptophyta; Magnoliopsida; Solanales; Solanaceae.